Long non-coding RNA from Lontra canadensis (Northern American river otter), 292 nucleotides. RefSeq lists it as uncharacterized. The record is from RefSeq and is a predicted model, not a curated record. The transcript has 3 exons. NCBI's taxonomy places the organism in Eukaryota, Metazoa, Chordata, Mammalia, Carnivora, Mustelidae.
CAAGAACUUCAUUGAUGAAAACAAAACCUUCUUUAUCACUGCAUAGUCACUAACCUAGAGAAGAAGAAGCUACUCCAGCCAGAGAUUCUAUAUUAUAUAGGGAGAAAACAUAUUUCCAUACAUUUGGUGAUAAGGGUUGGAUUUUCAUCAAGCCAUUUCCUAGAACUUCCUUUGGCACAAAGAACAAGCAUUCUGUUCUCAUCUUGGAAGUUUUUGCACAUAAGCCAGCAGUAAGCCAGCAAACUACUAUGAUCCUUCUCCCAAACAGGAAACCCAUUGGACAGAAUGUAAU